CGGGAUCCCUCGCGGGUGCACCG
RNAcentral lists this non-coding RNA (23 nucleotides) under Arabidopsis thaliana (thale cress). Lineage: Eukaryota; Viridiplantae; Streptophyta; Magnoliopsida; Brassicales; Brassicaceae. The record is from RNAcentral.